CCAAUUCAACGGUGUGGUCGCGGCCUCCGGGGGCUCCCCCCGGGCGGUAGAGGUAACACUCUUACGCGCCACAUGUCUGAAUCCUUUUUUUACGAGCACCUUUCGUUCUCCUUCGGUGGGGCAACCUGCCGUUGGAACUUAUCAAAACCUUUUUUUGCAUCUAGCAUUACCUGUUCAGAUACAAACAAUCGUUA
This 194-nucleotide unclassified non-coding RNA is filed under the name uncultured Ascomycota. RNAcentral's name for it is "sequence contains ITS1". The record is from RNAcentral. Lineage: Eukaryota; Fungi; Ascomycota.